This is a long non-coding RNA of Oncorhynchus gorbuscha (pink salmon), 1524 nucleotides long. RefSeq lists it as uncharacterized. The transcript has 3 exons. The record is from RefSeq and is a predicted model, not a curated record. Lineage: Eukaryota; Metazoa; Chordata; Actinopteri; Salmoniformes; Salmonidae.
UCUUUAUUUCUUUACUGGCAAGUUCAAGUACGCCCAAUUAAUCAUUUAUUGAUUUUAGCAGGUCGGUUUCUCUCUUACCGUACCAGGUGGUAAAAAGCAUAAAUCAUCAGUGUCUGUCGAUGAGUCUCGUCGUUUGGUUCUCCCUUUUUUUUCACUGGUUCCUCUCCGUCAUGUUUUGGCCUUGACUACGUUCGUAAUAUUUAUCAAUAAACUUCACUAGCCUUUUAAUUUUGGGGGGGUUAUUAUCUAGCUUGAAUGUUAUUGCCCACAAGUAAAUAUAUCAGUGUAGUGCUACUAUCUACUCAGUUUUAGAGAUAUUGACUAUUGCGAUUUCUCAUGAGUCAUUCUUCAUCGCCAUCUUCAGUCCGCUAUCUCCCUCCCAUUACCAAUUGUGUCGAGUUGGCUGGAUGUUCUUUUUAAAGUAAAAUUUUAGCAAGCUAGUUGCACUCUUUUUGGUAAUUUUCUGGUGUUUUGUGGUGAAAAAUGGAGGGUUCGAGCAUAACACGUCUGGUGCUUCAUCGCACCCAAAGGAUCACAGACAUUUGAGACUGAAAAGCCCUAUACGGAUUGACCAUGCAAUCCAUGCUUCCAGCAGGAUGCACAGCCAACAACUAUGGUUUGCAUGUAGGACACUAUAAUGUGGAAUAUGUGGUUGUUUGUUGGUCCCCAGUGGUGGUGAGUAUAACGGUAGCUAGACCAUAGACUGCUGGUAAUGUAUCUGGCUACGUAUAUUUUGAUAAUUAUUAUUCAGGGCUCCUGAGUGGUGCAGCAGUCUAAGGCACUGCAUCUCAGAGGUAGAGGUGUCACUCCAGACACCCUGGUUCGAAUCCAAACUGUAUCACAACCAGCUGUUAUUAGAAAUCCAAUAGGGCGGCACACAUUUGGCCCAGCGUCAUCCGGAUUUGGCCGGUGUAGACCUCAGAAUGAAAGUGUGUCAUGUGACACAAGUACCCUUGUGACGACACAUCCAUUGUUCCCAAAGUCUCCCUCGACUCCUAUGAAAAGAACACACCAUCACGAGGCCUCUGAUUGUGUCAUCAGGGCAGUGAACGGGUCACUGACGGCUUCAUCAACUACGACAGUAUCUUUGAUGAGGGGCCAGGAGCUGAUUUACGCUGCCAUCCCUCACCUCUUGCCUGCUCACCAACGGUCGUCGAUAGGGAGAACAGAAUUACAACACAGAAACAUGUAUGGAGCCAGCACAUGGAGACUUACAAGAUGAUGUGAUGACGUCCAGACUGACAGACGGGCUUGAUACUGAUGUCUCUGAAUGGAGAGAGACCUGGCACUCAGCAUUAAAACUGUACUGGACACAUCUUAUAUUCUCUUUAUUUAUUAUUGAAAUUAAUGGUAUCAGUCAAUAUGGGGAGGGAGAAACCCUGUGUAUUCUGCACCAGGAACAGGGAACUCCUGUGUAUACUGGAGAGCACAUAGGAAGGUACAGUUGAAGUCGGAAGUUUACAUACUGUCACGCCCUGACCUUAGAGCUUUUUAUGUCUCUCUUUUGGUUUGGUCAGGGUGUGA